Molecule: long non-coding RNA, 507 nt
Organism: Sycon ciliatum
Lineage: Eukaryota; Metazoa; Porifera; Calcarea; Leucosolenida; Sycettidae
Exons: 5
Source: RefSeq, a predicted model, not a curated record
AAAUUCCUGUUCAUUGCGCCGCUUUCGGUGGGCAUCUGGAAGUCGUCAAGUAUUUACUAGAACUCCAACCCGAGACUGUCUCUGCGAAGAACAACGACGGUGACCUUCCUGUUAAUCGUGCUGCCUGGAGUGGAAAGCAAGACGUCGUCAAGUGUCUACUAGAUCUCCAACCAGACACGAUCUCUGUAAAGAACAAUGCCGGUGAAAUUCCUGUUCAUCUCGCCGCUUGCGGUGGGCAUCUGGAAGUCGUCAAGUAUUUACUAGAACUCCAACCCGAGACUGUCUCUGCGAAGAACAACGACGGUGGCCUUCCUGUUCAUUAUGCUGCCUAUAAUGGAAAGCUAGACGUCGUCAAGUAUCUACUAGAUCUCCAACCAGACACGAUCUCUGUAAAGGACAACGACGGUGACCUUCCUGUUAAUCGUGCUGCCUGGAGUGGAAAGCAAGACGUCGUCAAGUGUCUACUAGAUCUCCAACCAGACACGAUCUCUGUAAAGAACAAUGUAA